Molecule: long non-coding RNA, 566 nt
Filed under: Medicago truncatula (barrel medic)
Lineage: Eukaryota; Viridiplantae; Streptophyta; Magnoliopsida; Fabales; Fabaceae
Description: lncRNA gene31830
Source: RNAcentral
AAUUGAAGGUCAUUUCGAUAUAUUUGAAAUCAAAGAUACAAAAGACAAAAUUUAAAUAAGAUUAUUUGCUGCCUUAUUUCAUUUCAAUAUCAUAAUCUUAGAGUACAAAGCCAUAACUAUAUGGUUCAUAAAAUUAGAAAGAAAGAAAAAAUCAAAUUAUUAGUUGUCUACACAAUAACUAAAUGGCAACUCAUGAAAUAUUCUUGCAUGACAUUUGUUUGCUCUCUUGGUUUUGGCACUAAAUACAUAAUCAUGUGCAAAACUUACUCCUAACACAUGCACAUUCACCGUAAAAACACAUCCUUUGCAUGGGAGGCUGGCAUAUAUUUGCUGGACAAUCAGAAUCUUCAACACAUGUCCAACCUGACGUAAUAAAAAAAAGAAUAAAAGAAUGUAACUAAAAUGGAAUAAAUAUUGUGUGCGAAGUAAAUAGGAAAUUAGAAAAUGAUAAAAAUGGCCUACCAUUGACGUUCUUUGCAACAAGAAAAAGGGAAAAAAAGAUAGCCAAAACAUAAACAAACUUGAUAAUUUUAGCCAUAUUUCCACCCUAUGCCUAUAAAAAAAAC